AGCUUUAGGGCUAGCCUCGCAUUAGUUUACCGGAGGUAGAGCACUGAAUGGUCUAGGGGGCCUCACCGCCUACCGAAACCUAUCAAACUGCGAAUGCCGGAUAAAUGAUGUGCGGGAGUCAGGCCGCGAGAGAUAAGUUCCGCGGUCAAAAGGGGAACACCCCAGAUCGUCUGCUAAGGUCCCCAAGUACGCGUUAAGUGGGAAAGGAUGUUGGAUUGCACAGACAACCAGGAUGUUGGCUUAGAAGCAGCCACACAUUCAAAGAGUGCGUAAUAGCUCACUGGUCGAGUGAUCCAGCGCCGAAAAUGUAACGGGGCUAAAACGCGACACCGAAGCAGCGGGAUGCGUAAGCAUCGGUAGAGGAGCAUUGUGUGAGGAUAGAAGCCAGAGCGGGAGCACUGGUGGACUUCACAGAAGAGAGAAUGCCGGUAUGAGUAGCGAGACCCAUGCGAGAAACAUGGGCGUCGAAGGCCCAAGGUUUCCUGGGGAAGGUUCAUCCACCCAGGGUAAGUCGGGACCUAAGCCGAGGACUGAGGUCGUAGGCGAUGGACAGCAGGUAGAGAUUCCUGCACCACUUACACUUGUUUGACGAAGCAGUGACACAGAAGGAUAGGACGAGCGCGGUGAUGGUCAACCGCGUAGGCGGCACGAGGCUGGGGAGCAGUAAAGUACACUUCCCGUUAAGGCUGAGUGCUGACAGGACCGAAAAAGAGUAGGGAAGCGUCUGAGUUCACGCUGGCGAGAAAAGCUGCUAAGGAGAGUGUGAGUGCCCGUACCGGAAACCGACGCAGGUGGGCGAGGAGAGAAUCCUGAGACGGACGGGAGAACUCUUGUUAAGGAACUCGGCAAAAUGACCCCGUAACUUCGGGAGAAGGGGUGCCUCGAAAGAGGCCGCAGAGAAUAGUCACAAGCGACUGUUUAGCAAAAACACAGGUAUCUGCGAAAGCGAGAGCUGACGUAUAGGUGCUGACGCCUGCCCGGUGCUGGAAGGUUAAGGGGAAGUGUUAGGGGAAACCCGAAGCAGAGAACCGAAGCCCCAGUAAACGGCGGCCGUAACUAUAACGGUCCUAAGGUAGCGAAAUUCCUUGUCGGGUAAGUUCCGACCCGCACGAAUGGUGUAACGACUUGUGAGCUGUCUCAACAGGGGGCCCGGUGAAAUUGAAGUAUGGGUGAAGAUGCCCAUUACCCGCGACUGGACGGAAAGACCCCGUAGAGCUUUACUGUAACCUGACAUUGGAUCUUGAUAACGGAUGCACAGGAUAGGUGGGACGCUGGGAGGUAUGGACUUUGGUCUGUACGGAGCGGACGUUGGGAUACCACUCUUCUGUUAUUGAGAUUCUAACCUCAAGCCGUAAGCCGGAUGAGAGACAGUGUCAGGCGGACAGUUUGACUGGGGCGGUCGCCUCCGAAAGAGUAACGGAGGCGCCCAAAGGUACCCUCAGAAUGGAUGGAAACCAUUCGAAGAGAGCAAAGUCAGAAGGGUGCUUGACUGCGAGACCAACAAGUCGAGCAGGUACGAAAGUAGGGCUUAGUGAUCCGGCGGUAAGAGAGUGGAAUUGCCGUCGCUCAACGGAUAAAAGCUACCUCGGGGAUAACAGGCUGAUCUCCCCCAAGAGUUCACAUCGACGGGGAGGUUUGGCACCUCGAUGUCGGCUCGUCGCAUCCUGGGGCUGAAGCAGGUCCCAAGGGUUUGGCUGUUCGCCAAUUAAAGCGGCACGCGAGCUGGGUUCAGAACGUCGUGAGACAGUUCGGUCCCUAUCCAUCGUGGGCGAAGGACACAUGAGAGGAGCUGCUCCUAGUACGAGAGGACCGGAGUGGACGCAUCACUGGUGCAACUGUUGUCGUGCCAACGGCACAGCAGGGAAGCGAAAUGCGGAUGGGAUAAACGCUGAAGGCAUCUAAGCGUGAAGCCCACCUCAAGAAUAAGUGUCCCAUUCGAAAGAAGUAAGACCCCUGGAAGACUACCAGGUGAUAGGUCAUCGGUGAAAGAGCGGUAACGUUUGGAGCUUGAUGAUACUAAUCGGUCGAGGACUUGAUCUA
This 2040-nucleotide ribosomal RNA is filed under the name human gut metagenome. RNAcentral's name for it is "bacterial LSU rRNA". It matches the Rfam family "Bacterial large subunit ribosomal RNA", at positions 866 to 2925 of the family's 2925-position model. The record is from RNAcentral.